Molecule: long non-coding RNA, 423 nt
Filed under: Equus asinus (donkey)
Lineage: Eukaryota; Metazoa; Chordata; Mammalia; Perissodactyla; Equidae
Description: lncRNA (ENSEASG00005025358.1)
Source: RNAcentral
CCAAAUCAACCCUGGCGACCCAUGGGUAGCAGAUUUCGUGGCCAGAUCACCUUCACAUCCACAGAGGGACAAAUCUUGACUCUUGGAGACCUCAGAAGGAAUUGAUGCAUUCUCAAAUGCUGGCUGAACCUGGGUUGGUCUAUUCAGUUGACAGGAUCCUAUGACUCUUUCCACAUCGUAUUAGAGCACUCCCUGUGAAGUAAGGACAAGAAUCAUGCUAACAGGGGAGAAAAACUGCCAUGUGGAAAUCCUGCACUCAACAUGUGAGGGGAGGUGAAAGCCAAGAAAUAGAAAGAUGUCCUUUCUGUAUGUGGCGAUGCUAAGGAAAUGCUGUCUCUACAUUGUUUAUCCGGAUCCACAGAAAAUGACUUUUGCGGUCACACUUCAUUUUGUAGCAUUUUUUGCAAAUCAUUUGGAUUAAGG